Molecule: ribosomal RNA, 162 nt
Filed under: uncultured bacterium
Lineage: Bacteria
Description: partial 16S ribosomal RNA
Rfam family: Bacterial small subunit ribosomal RNA
Source: RNAcentral
AACGCCGCGUGGAGGAUGAAGGUCCUUGGAUCGUAAACUCCUGUCAGCAGGGAAAAAGGGAUAGGCGUUAAUACCGCUUAAACUUGAUUGUACCUGCAGAGGAAGCCCCGGCUAACUCUGUGCCAGCCACUUCGGUGACUGAGCGGGCUGGCAAGGCGCAUA